RNAcentral lists this ribosomal RNA (440 nucleotides) under uncultured bacterium. RNAcentral describes it as "bacterial SSU rRNA". It matches the Rfam family "Bacterial small subunit ribosomal RNA", at positions 958 to 1398 of the family's 1533-position model. The record is from RNAcentral.
AACGCGAAGAACCUUACCCAGGCUUGACAUGCAGUGGACGAUAUCAGAAAUGAUAUUUCCCUUCGGGGCCGCUGCACAGGUGCUGCAUGGCUGUCGUCAGCUCGUGCCGUGAGGUGUUGGGUUAAGUCCCGCAACGAGCGCAACCCUUAUCAUUAGUUGCCAACACGUGAAGGUGGGAACUCUAAUGAGACUGCCUGGGUUAACCAGGAGGAAGGUGAGGAUGACGUCAAGUCCGCAUGGCCCUUAUGUCUGGGGCUACACACGUGCUACAAUGGUCGGUACAGAAGGCAGCGAAACUGCAAAGUGAAGCAAAUCCCUAAAACCGGCCCCAGUUCAGAUUGUAGUCUGCAACUCGACUACAUGAAGUUGGAAUUGCUAGUAAUGGCGAGUCAGCAACAUCGCCGUGAAUACGUUCCCGGGCCUUGUACACACCGCUCGUC